This 1128-nucleotide long non-coding RNA is filed under the name Marmota monax (woodchuck). The record is from RNAcentral. Lineage: Eukaryota; Metazoa; Chordata; Mammalia; Rodentia; Sciuridae.
GACAGAGAAAGAUAAAGACACAGAGACAGAGAGAUGUGGUGCUGGGAAUGGAACCCAGGGCCUCACACAUGCUAGACCAGCACACUACCACUGAGCUACACCUAGCCCUGGCCCCUAUAAUGCUUUUCUUUUUAUUAAAGGUGGAGCUUCUUAAAUGCUGGUGAAACUGGAGGCAUGGCGAUUCAGGGAGAGAAGAGCAUGGAGUGAAAAGCACCACUUCUGCUUCAGCUCUAUCUGCUGCCACAGAAGGAAGUCUGGGAGAGCAACAGAUCCAAAGCAAGGGGAAAGAAGCAGUCCAGUGUGUGCACUAGGAGCCCCUGAUGAAUAUCAUGAAUGCAGUUGAAAAAAGCUUGGUGAUCAGAGUGCAAAUGAGUCAGUGGCAAGUGAAAGAAGGCAAUGAGACAAUAAGGCUUUAGGAUGUUUCUCAAAUUCUUAUUUCUUUGCCAUCCUUGAAAAUAAAAUACAGCUCAGAAAAGUUUAUGGAACUGCCCUUUUCAAAUAAAUAAGGCAACAUAAUUUACUGAUAAUCCUGUCAACCCCCAAGUCUGUUACGGAUAGUGUUGAGAGAGCUGGCCUUACUCAAGACAGGACUAACUGGUGAAUGUUUAGUAAUACCAAGAGAUUACUAUCUCUGUCUCAGGCAAGUUUCUAGCCAGAGGGAAGAUCAGUUCCAGGCUAUGAGAAGGUUCUUGGUUUAAGUCAUAUUUUACACACACACACACACACACACACACACGAAUAUUUUAGUAGAUUCUGUAUCCCAUACAAAAACAAAAAUGGACUAACUGGUCUAAAUCACUGCUAAAAACAUUUUCAUAUGCUAAAGGAAAAAGCAUUAAGUAGCAUACCUAUUUUCCCCUCUACCUCAGCCCCUUGUAAACACUAAUUUGUUACUUUCUAGUGGAUUUAUCUAAUGAAGAUAUUUCAUACAAAUGGAAUAUCACAAUAUGUGAAUUUUUAUAUCUGAUUGUUUCACCUAGCAUAAUAUUUUUCUUUUUUUUAAUUUUUUUUAGUUGUAGAUGGACACAAGACCUUUAUUUUAUUUAUAUAUUUUUAUGUGGUACUGAGGAUCAAACCCAGUGCCUCACAUGUGCUAGACAAGCACUCUGCCACUGAGCUACAACCCCA